UACGAAGGACCCGAGCGUUAUCCGGAUUCAUUGGGUUUAAAGGGUGCGUAGGUGGAAUGAUAAGUCAGUGGUGAAAUCUCCGGGCUCAACCCGGAAACUGCCAUUGAUACUGUUGUUCUUGAGUACAGCUGAUGUGGGCGGAAUGUGCGGUGUAGUGGUGAAAUACUUAGAUAUCGCACAGAACACCGAUUGCGAAGGCAGCUCACAAAACUGUAACUGACACUGAUGCACGAAAGCGUGGGGAUCAAACAGG
This 253-nucleotide ribosomal RNA is filed under the name uncultured bacterium. RNAcentral describes it as "partial 16S ribosomal RNA". It matches the Rfam family "Bacterial small subunit ribosomal RNA", at positions 524 to 776 of the family's 1533-position model. The record is from RNAcentral.